RNAcentral lists this small nuclear RNA (269 nucleotides) under Fukomys damarensis (Damara mole-rat). Its description in RNAcentral is "7SK RNA". It matches the Rfam family "7SK RNA". Rfam says of the family: 7SK was discovered as an abundant small nuclear RNA in the mid-70s but a possible function has only recently been suggested. Two independent studies have found that 7SK RNA binds the CDK9/cyclin T complex (known as elongation factor P-TEFb). The record is from Rfam by way of RNAcentral. Lineage: Eukaryota; Metazoa; Chordata; Mammalia; Rodentia; Bathyergidae.
GCUACUUCACUCUACUGAUCAGCACAGUUGAUUUGGCUGAUCUGGCUGGCUAGAAGGGUGUCCCCUUCCUCCCUUACUGCUCAACGUGUGUCUGGAAUUGAAGAGGUGACCACUCCUGAUAGAGGAGGACUAUUUCCUCAGUCAAGGGUGUAUGAGUAGCUGUGCUCCCCUGCUAGAGUCUCCAAACAAGCUCUCAAAUCAGGGAGUCAACAGUAAAAGCUGUGUAAAUAUCCCCAAAUCUAAAAAUCUUCGAAAUCUGAACUUCUUCU